UCCAUGAGUAAAGUGGCGCACGGGUGAGUAACACGUGACUAACCUACCCUUGAGUGGGGGAUAACCUAGGGAAACCUGGGCUAAUACCGCAUAAUACCUACGGGUCAAAGGAGCAAUUCGCUUUAGGAGGGGGUCGCGGCAGAUUAGUUAGUUGGCAGGGUAAUGGCCUACCAAGACGAUGAUCUGUAUCCGGCCUGAGAGGGCGCACGGACACACUGGGACUGAAACACGGUCCAG
Molecule: ribosomal RNA, 237 nt
Filed under: uncultured bacterium
Lineage: Bacteria
Description: partial 16S ribosomal RNA
Rfam family: Bacterial small subunit ribosomal RNA
Source: RNAcentral